GGCAGAAGGGGAGAGAGAUGUGCAUGGGAUGAAGGCUCCAAGGCUGCAGCUCCCUGCAGGCUGGGCCAGCAUCCCCGCACCGUGCCCAUGGCCCCAGCAGGGUGUCCGGGGUGAUGGAGGGAUGCCACAGGUCCAUCACUUCAACAGGAGUCCACAGCAGCUGCCGGCAGGCUGAAAGCACUCAUGCUUGCUGUACUGCAAGACAUCAUUAGUCACUUCAUGUCUGCAUCAUACAACUACUGAUUGAAAAAAGGGUAUCUUUUUUCAGUACAACUUUUCUCAGUUGCUCUUUACUGGAUGCAAAUCACAGGCGAGUGAGCUAGUUACCUAACAGCCUAUUGAUCUCCUUCAGUGCAGAAUUCAGACAUGUCCCCUGGAUUUACAAAUGUAUCCUUAUCUCACCUUUCUAGAACUGGCAGAAUCCCUGCCUAGAAAGAGGCUAAAUGACACAACCAAGGUUACUUUGAAAAUCUAAAUUGGAUCCAGCUUUUCAAUUCUGGGCCUUGACCACAAAACCAUCUUCACCAUUUUCGACAAGCACAAGGCUGGUUAGCUGAAGAUGACUGCCAGAGGCCUGGCCUUAUGGCUACUCCUUUCCUGGGGGACUGGCAGCUCACAGAUCUGGGAUGUUCCUGGCAAUGCUGAGAAGGGCAAAUGAUGCCUUUUUAAAAGGAUACUGUCUAAUUAUGUCAGAGAGGAUGUGGCUGGAGAAAUGUACUUCAAAGGUCACAAAGGUCUGUGAUGUCUUCUUGUUGCUGUGGGAGGGCUCACCACCCUCAGACUCCAUCUCAUCUUCAGGAAGUGUUGCCCCAGACAUGAUGGAUGUAAUGCCUGGUUAGUAGGCUUGGAUCAGGAUCCAGUGGUAGGCCAGUACAGAAAGUGGCUGAGAGAGGAAUGAGAAGUAAGCCAUGCUGGUGAGCAGAAUGACUGCAGGGCACAGUAACAGCUGGACUGUCUGGGCAGGCACAGGCUUCAUUCCUACCAAGGCAUUUUGGGCAAUGGGCAGUGAAGGCUUGGAUAACAGAAAUCGAAGGAAUGGCAAAAUUGCAGACAACUUUUCUGUGAGCAUAUGGAAGUCUGGUGAAGAAUCUAAACAAUCAUCAUAAAUCACAGUUUGACCUGACCACUGGGGCUCUUCAGCCAGAGGAAGCUGCAUUGCAACUGUAGCCUUCUCAGACAUUUCCCUUCACACAUUGGCAUCAUUCCUUUACCUUAUUUUAGCUUUAUUUCUGCCUCUGGUUCCUCUGAAAGUGCUACGCCAUCCUCACGUUCUUGGUGUGAUCAGAGAGGAUGAAAAAUAUAGGUGUCUUAUUUGCAUAUUGCUGACAGUGGCUUUUAGAAACCUGACUAAACAACUUGCUUUGAUAUUCUGUUGUUACAUUCCACAGCUAACUUGUACACUGCCCUUUAUCCCUUUGAAAUGUACUGAUGUUUCAUUUUCAAGCUCUCUUAUUUGAAUUUCAUGGAGUUGGGUAAAGCUGACUGGUCUCUAUGGCAAUUAUUAUUUAAUACCUUUCUCCCAUUUGUUGUUCCUUCUUUCUACCCUAAACACACCUGGACUGGGUGAUGAUUCAUGGUACAGAGGCCAAAUGGACCCAUGUGACAAAUAAAUUUUGCUCACUUGCUUAGAACCUUUCCCGUGCCUGUCUCUUUCAGGAGAAGGUGUCCAUAAUUUAAGUUGCAUUUGAGAGGAGAUCACCCUACAACUUUUAUAGUGGCAUUUAUCAUUUAGAACCAGGGAGAGGAGUUAUUUGGAGGAGUCCAGACAGCACAAUAGAGUUCUGAUACUUGCUGAGGUCACCAUGAAUUGAAGGAGUUUGGUAGUGCAUUUGAGAACUCAAACUGAAGAGAUGUCCUCCAAGCAGCACUGCAGCCCAUGGGCCAGAAACUGUUCUGCUGUGACACUGAAAAGCAAUGCAGAUGUGGGUUUCACUGAGCAUCCAGCAGAGAGCCUCAGCUCAGUAAGAGGAUUAUACAUCUCCUCCUUCUAGAAUAAACCUCUUUGCAGAGAAGAUACUUCUCAAGCCCUCUUUGGAGAUCAGGCUUCUAAGAUCAAGACUCCUAAGAUUCAAGCCAUCACAGCAGCCAGUAGGAAACGAACCCCAGUUAAAAGGGAAAGGCUUUUACAGCUCUGCAGGACUACAGGGCUUUGACAUAGGGAACAUGCUGCUAUGGCAAAAGGAUCCUUGUUUGGUUCACAGCUAUUGGAGACAGAAAAAAUAAGGAGGCACAAGUACAAGGCAGAGUUCAAGCUCUAUCCAAGAUGACAGGAGACUGUUGCUGGAGACUUUGAAGGACACAAACCCUCCUGCUAGAACAGCUUCACCACCAGGGAAAAACAACCAGGAAACUAAAGAGGGAACCUCUUGCAACUUCAACCAUUGACAAAGGAUGUCUGAAAACAGUACCCAAGCAUGCAAUGGAUACACUGUUCAAAGAGAGAAAGCAAAUCAAAAAGAUUUAAGACAUGGUUGUAUGUUUUACUACAUUUAGCCCAAAGAUACAAAGGACCUUUAGAAUGAUCGUAACAUCCAAAUCAGGCUUAAUCACUACUACAUUCCCAUAACUUUGGAAACAUCAACCAGCAAUUAACUUGUGCAAGUUACUCUGUUUACAAAACACCUAUGUAUUAAA
Passer domesticus (house sparrow) is the source of this 2634-nucleotide long non-coding RNA. RefSeq lists it as uncharacterized. NCBI's taxonomy places the organism in Eukaryota, Metazoa, Chordata, Aves, Passeriformes, Passeridae. The transcript is spliced from 4 exons. The record is from RefSeq and is a predicted model, not a curated record.